Phyllostomus hastatus (greater spear-nosed bat) is the source of this 553-nucleotide long non-coding RNA. RefSeq lists it as uncharacterized. The transcript has 2 exons. NCBI's taxonomy places the organism in Eukaryota, Metazoa, Chordata, Mammalia, Chiroptera, Phyllostomidae. The record is from RefSeq and is a predicted model, not a curated record.
CCUAAAGCCAUUUCCAGCUGCUCUUCCUCCCAAGGCCAGCUCGCCCACCCAGGAAAGUGAGGUUCUCUCAGGACCGGAGGAAGAAAGCGCGGAUCCCACAGAGGGCGGCCCCCAAGGACCCCCACAGGCACCCAAGAAUGUGAUAAAUAUUCAAGCACACCUCUGGCAUCCCACCCUCCCCACUAGGAGACUGGAGCCAAGAGCCAGGCAUACCUUCUUCCUCUAUUCCUGCAAAAUAAAGUUUGUGGGAAGCAGAAACCUGCUUCUCUAAGUAAACAAGUCACCUACACUCUGAAAUAAUAUUUCUGUUUCUGGGGAGGGAGACGGCCAGGCCAGGGUGGAUCUCUGCACCAGGUGGGCCACUGCUCUGCCAUUCAACAGCACCUCUGAGCUGAGAAGGAUGAACCUUGCAGUGAAGGAGCGUUUCUUCCAUUGGUCUUCUCUGGCCUGCCGCCAGCCUCCUCAGCAGCGGCAGACAGUGCAAGAGUGAUGGCAACGUGACUGGAACACAAAGAGUUGCUACCAAGCACACGAAAGCUCCUGUAAGCCUGUG